Molecule: ribosomal RNA, 445 nt
Filed under: Ligidium ghigii
Lineage: Eukaryota; Metazoa; Arthropoda; Malacostraca; Isopoda; Ligiidae
Description: partial 16S ribosomal RNA
Rfam family: Bacterial large subunit ribosomal RNA
Source: RNAcentral
GAUUUAAGGGCCGCAGUAUCCUGACUGUGCUAAGGUAGCAUAAUAAUUUGUCUUUUAAUUAAAGACUCGUAUAAAUGAGGUGACGAAGAGAAAACUGUCUCCUUGAGAUACAUAAACUUACCUUUAAGGUUAAAAGGCCUUAACAACUCAAAGGGACGACAAGACCCUAAAAACUUUACCUCUGAAUAAGUUCUCCAAGAAAAAUAAAGAAAGGGGUUUUACUGGGGCGGUAAAUUGCAACAAAAUUAACUAAAACACUUUGGGUGAACUAAAAGUACAGGCGUACAUAACAAGAACUAGUUACUUUAGGGAUAACAGCGCAAUUUCUCCAGAGAGUCCUUAUCGGCGGAGAAGAUUACGACCUCGAUGUUGAAUUGAGAAUCCUUUUGUAGAGCAGAAGCACAAAAAGGAAGUCUGUUCGACUUUUAAAUUUUCACAUGAUCUG